Molecule: non-coding RNA, 111 nt
Organism: Acanthosepion pharaonis
Lineage: Eukaryota; Metazoa; Mollusca; Cephalopoda; Sepiida; Sepiidae
Source: the annotation of a GenBank genome assembly
UUACGGCCAUAUCUUGUUGAAACAUUGGUUCACUUACGAUCACCGAAGUUAAACAACGUGAAGCCUAGUCAGUACCAAGAUGGGUGACCGCUCAGGAAUACCAAUACUGCA